Molecule: long non-coding RNA, 879 nt
Organism: Vigna angularis (adzuki bean)
Lineage: Eukaryota; Viridiplantae; Streptophyta; Magnoliopsida; Fabales; Fabaceae
Exons: 2
Source: RefSeq, a predicted model, not a curated record
UUCAUGUUGCUACGUCAAGGAAAAGUUAAGGGGUUCAAAGUCGCGCUUCAUUUGUGCAGAGAGGCUAGAGCAAUUGAAAGUUUUUCCCCCAAUUUCACUCUCAAGUUAGGGUUCCAGCGAAGUGAAGCAACGAACCAGAGACGUGAACUCCAUGGCUCGUGACGGUUGAAGCGAUUAUUUGACACGUGGCUGGAGCUCAAAUCAUCAGAAAGAGAUGUUGAUGCAAGGAGGUUCGGGAACGAAGCUAUUGUGUCAGGAAGUUAGUUGGAAAGAAGAUCAACCGAGAAGCUUCCGAGUUAGUUAGUGAUUCAUUCCCCCUUUUCCCUUUUCUUUAUUUUUCUGUUUUUUGGAUUUUUCCCCUAUAAAAAGGGAGUCUUGUAAUAUAGAACGUACGUACAUUGGGUGACAGACAGUGUACCUAGCUUAGGGUUUUCAUUCUUCAUGCUUUAGUUUAGAUUUCUUCAAGGUUUGUAGAGAUAGAAUCACUGCUCUAGGAUACUGGAUUUCGUAGAGAAUUCUCACGUGGGUGACAGGCCAUGAGAUUCCUUUGUGAUUUUCGAUUUUCCAGAUUCGUGGUCGAAUCCUCUUCAACCUAGGGGAUGAUGUGAUCAUAGAUCGGGUAAAGGAUGAAGAGAAUAAAAGGAUGACAAGAAGCAUGGCUAAAGGGAAUCUUCUUAUUUCUUGGCUCCUCUAUACUUUUGCACAAAAAGAGUAAAGUAGGUUUCUUGGCUUGUAUUUUGCCUCUUAUAUUUCUUUUUGUUUAUUUUGGUUGUAGAGAAGAUUAUAUACUCUUUUUUUCUUUAAAGUGCAAGCAAUGUGGGACUUCACAUAGUUUAGACAUAAAAGAAAGAAGAAUAAAUAAGCCUUCUUCUCAUUAAA